This 93-nucleotide non-coding RNA is filed under the name unclassified sequences. Its description in RNAcentral is "DUF1874 RNA". It matches the Rfam family "DUF1874 RNA". Rfam says of the family: Hot springs metagenome only. The record is from RNAcentral.
GUCAUCCCGCCUUGUGGGUAGGCCAUCCAGGGUAAAUCUCCCCAUAGGGGAGUGCCUACCUACUCCCGCGAGGGAAUAAGACGGGAAGGAGGA